GAAAUGCGAUAAGUAAUGUGAAUUGCAGAAUUCAGUGAAUCAUCGAAUCUUUGAACGCACCUUGCGCUCCUUGGUAUUCCUUGGAGCAUGCCUGUUUGAGUAUCAUGAAAUCUUCAAAGUAAAUCUUUUGUUAACUCAUUGGUUUCUACUUUGGUAUUGGAGGUCUUUGCAGCUUCACACCUGCUCCUCUUUGUUCAUUAGCUGGAUCUCAGUGUUAUGCUUGGUUCCACUCGGCGUGAUAAGUUAUCUAUCGCUGAGGACACUGUAAAAGGUGGCCAAGGUAAAUGCAGAUGAACCGCUUCUAAUAGUCCAUUGACUUGGACAAUACUUUUAUGAUCUGAUCUCAAAUCAGGUAGGACUACCCGCUGAACUUAAGC
Molecule: unclassified non-coding RNA, 377 nt
Filed under: plant metagenome
Description: partial contains 5.8S ribosomal RNA, internal transcribed spacer 2, and large subunit ribosomal RNA
Rfam family: 5.8S ribosomal RNA (bases 1-105)
Source: RNAcentral